This 255-nucleotide ribosomal RNA is filed under the name uncultured bacterium. RNAcentral's name for it is "partial 16S ribosomal RNA". It matches the Rfam family "Bacterial small subunit ribosomal RNA", at positions 524 to 776 of the family's 1533-position model. The record is from RNAcentral.
UACGUAGGGGGGCAAGCGUUGUCCGGAAUCAUUGGGCGUAAAGAGCUCGUAGGCGGUCUGUCACGUCGGCUGUGAAAUCCCGAGGCUCAACCUCGGGUCUGCAGUCGAUACGGGCAAACUAGAGUAUUGCAGGGGAGACUGGAAUUCCUGGUGUAGCGGUGAAAUGCGCAGAUAUCAGGAGGAACACCGGUGGCGAAGGCGGGUCUCUGGGCAAUAACUGACGCUGGAGGAGCGAAAGCGUGGGGAGCGAACAGG